CUAACUAGGAUUCCCUUAGUAACGGCGAGUGAACCGGGAUGAGCUCAAAUUUAAAAUCUGGCGUCUUUCAGGCGUCCGAGUUGUAAUCUAUAGAGGCGUUUUCCGCGCCGGACCGCGUCCAAGUCUCUUGGAAUAGAGUAUCAAAGAGGGUGACAAUCCCGUACUUGACGCGACAACCGGUGCUCUGUGAUACGUUCUCAAUGAGUCGAGUUGUUUGGGAAUGCAGCUCUAAAUGGGUGGUAAAUUCCAUCUAAGGCUAAAUAUUGGCGAGAGACCGAUAGCGAACAAGUACCGUGAGGGAAAGAUGAAAAGCACUUUGGAAAGAGAGUUAAACAGCACGUGAAAUUGUUAAAAGGGAAACGAUUGAAGUCAGUCGUGUGAAAGGUAUUCAGCCGUCUCUGGCGGUGUAUUUGCCUUUCACGGGUCAACAUCAGUUUGAUCCGGUAGAAAAAGGCGGGAGGAAGGUGGCACCCUCGGGUGUGUUAUAGCCUCCUGUCAUAUGUGCCGGACCAGACUGAGGAACGCAGCUUGCCGCAAGGCCGGGGUUCGCCCACGUACAA
This 560-nucleotide ribosomal RNA is filed under the name Vishniacozyma victoriae. Its description in RNAcentral is "partial large subunit ribosomal RNA". It matches the Rfam family "Eukaryotic large subunit ribosomal RNA", at positions 65 to 612 of the family's 3401-position model. The record is from RNAcentral. Lineage: Eukaryota; Fungi; Basidiomycota; Tremellomycetes; Tremellales; Bulleribasidiaceae.